CGGGGUGUAGCGCAGCCUGGUAGCGCAUCUGCUUUGGGAGCAGAGGGUCGGCAGUUCGAAUCUGUCCACCCCGACCA
Molecule: transfer RNA, 77 nt
Filed under: Rhodospirillaceae bacterium
Lineage: Bacteria; Pseudomonadati; Pseudomonadota; Alphaproteobacteria; Rhodospirillales; Rhodospirillaceae
Also listed under: 1 other name
Description: tRNA-Pro
Rfam family: tRNA
About the family: Transfer RNA (tRNA) molecules are approximately 80 nucleotides in length. Their secondary structure includes four short double-helical elements and three loops (D, anti-codon, and T loops).
Source: RNAcentral